UGGUUGAUCCUGCCAGUAGUCAUACGCUCGUCUCAAAGAUUAAGCCAUGCAUGUGUAAGUGUAAAUAUCAAAGUUUGGAACUGCGAAUGGCUCAUUAUAUCAGUUAUAGUUUAUUUGGUGAAGUGUACUACUUGGAUAACCGUAGUAAUUCUAGGGCUAAUACAUGAGAAAGUCCUCUGGUGAGGUGUGUUUAUUAGAAUGAAAACCAUAUGCUUCGGCAUGAUAGUGAGUAAUAGUAACCUAUCGUAUCGCAUGCUUAAUGUAGCGAUGAGUCUUUCAAGUUUCUGCCCUAUCAGCUUUCGAUGGUAGUAUAUGGGCCUACCAUGGCAGUAACGGGUAACGAAGAAUUUGGGUUCGAUUUCGGAGAGGGAGCCUGAGAGAUGGCUACCACAUCCAAGGAAGGCAGCAGGCGCGUAAAUUACCCAAUCCUG
This 431-nucleotide ribosomal RNA is filed under the name Blastocystis sp. Its description in RNAcentral is "SSU rRNA". It matches the Rfam family "Eukaryotic small subunit ribosomal RNA", at positions 5 to 453 of the family's 1831-position model. Lineage: Eukaryota; Bigyra; Opalinata; Blastocystidae. The record is from RNAcentral.